ACUCCUACGGGAGGCAGCAGUGGGGAAUAUUGCACAAUGGGGGAAACCCUGAUGCAGCCAUGCCGCGUGUGUGAAGAAGGCCUUCGGGUUGUAAAGCACUUUCAGUAGGGAGGAAGGUAGUGUAGUUAACACCUGCAUUAUUUGUACGUUACCUACAGAAGAAGCACCGGCUAACUCCGUGCCAGCAGCCGCGGUAAUACGGAGGGUGCGAGCGUUAAUCGGAAUUACUGGGCGUAAAGCGCAUGCAGGCGGCCUGUUAAGUCAGAUGUGAAAGCCCGGGGCGUUAACCUCGGAAUUGCAUUUGAAACUGGCAGGCUAGAGUCUUGUAGAGGGGGUUAGAAUUUCAGGUGUAGCGGUGAAAUGCGUAGAGAUCUGAAGGAAUACCGAGUGGCGAA
RNAcentral lists this ribosomal RNA (395 nucleotides) under uncultured bacterium. Its description in RNAcentral is "bacterial SSU rRNA". It matches the Rfam family "Bacterial small subunit ribosomal RNA", at positions 335 to 719 of the family's 1533-position model. The record is from RNAcentral.